GCAUCAGAUAAUGAAGAGUUCAUAAAAAACAACCCCAAGUAAACCCCUUUUAUUCAGUUCCAAUAUGUGCUUGGAAAUAAAUGGCAGCAUGGGAAGUCUUGCUGCUGUUUUUAGCAGAGGCUUUUGCAGCACGUUGCUGCUGAUGGAUUUGUGCAGUCAUCACCGUUAAAGCUUGAGGCUGUCAGCAGCAGCAGAUCUGCAGGAUCUGCAAGUUCUGGCUCCAACUAAAAAUAGAAUAGAUUGAGACAUUCCGCUAUCGUGAAGGU
This is a long non-coding RNA of Zonotrichia leucophrys gambelii, 266 nucleotides long. RefSeq lists it as uncharacterized. The record is from RefSeq and is a predicted model, not a curated record. Lineage: Eukaryota; Metazoa; Chordata; Aves; Passeriformes; Passerellidae. The transcript is spliced from 3 exons.